RNAcentral lists this ribosomal RNA (460 nucleotides) under uncultured bacterium. Its description in RNAcentral is "partial 16S ribosomal RNA". It matches the Rfam family "Bacterial small subunit ribosomal RNA", at positions 338 to 795 of the family's 1533-position model. The record is from RNAcentral.
CCUACGGGGGGCAGCAGUGAGGAAUAUUGGUCAGUGGACGAGAGUCUGAACCAGCCAAGUAGCGUGAAGGAUGACUGCCCUAUGGGUUGUAAACUUCUUUUAUAUGGGAAUAAAACGUUCCACGUGUGGGAUUUUGUAUGUACCAUAUGAAUAAGGAUCGGCUAACUCCGUGCCAGCAGCCGCGGUAAUACGGAGGAUCCGAGCGUUAUCCGGAUUUAUUGGGUUUAAAGGGAGCGUAGGUGGAUUGUUAAGUCAGUUGUGAAAGUUUGCGGCUCAACCGUAAAAUUGCAGUUGAAACUGGCAGUCUUGAGUACAGUAGAGGUGGGCGGAAUUCGUGGUGUAGCGGUGAAAUGCUUAGAUAUCACGAAGAACUCCGAUUGCGAAGGCAGUUCACUGGACUGCAACUGACACUGAGGCUCGAAAGUGUGGGUAUCAAACAGGAUUAGAUACCCCAGUAGUC